UUCCUCCGCUUAUUGAUAUGCUUAAGUUCAGCGGGUAUCCCUACCUGAUCCGAGGUCAAAAGUUGAAAAAAGGCUUAAUGGAUGCUAGACCUUUGCUGAUAGAGAGUGCGACUUGUGCUGCGCUCCGAAACCAGUAGGCCGGCUGCCAAUUACUUUAAGGCGAGUCUCCAGCAAAGCUAGAGACAAGACGCCCAACACCAAGCAAAGCUUGAGGGUACAAAUGACGCUCGAACAGGCAUGCCCUUUGGAAUACCAAAGGGCGCAAUGUGCGUUCAAAGAUUCGAUGAUUCACUGAAUUCUGCAAUUCACACUACUUAUCGCAUUUCGCUGCGUUCUUCAUCGAUGCCAGAACCAAGAGAUCCGUUGUUGAAAGUUGUAAUUAUUAAUUUGUUACUGACGCUGAUUGCAAUUACAAAAGGUUUAUGUUUGUCCUAGUGGUGGGCGAACCCACCAAGGAAACAAGAAGUACGCAAAAGACAAGGGUGAAUAAUUCAGCAAGGCUGUAACCCCGAGAGGUUCCAGCCCGCCUUCAUAUUUGUGUAAUGAUCCCUCCGCAGGUC
RNAcentral lists this unclassified non-coding RNA (560 nucleotides) under Alternaria alternata. Its description in RNAcentral is "sequence contains 18S rRNA gene, ITS1, 5.8S rRNA gene, ITS2 and 28S rRNA gene". The record is from RNAcentral. Lineage: Eukaryota; Fungi; Ascomycota; Dothideomycetes; Pleosporales; Pleosporaceae.